Molecule: ribosomal RNA, 433 nt
Filed under: uncultured bacterium
Lineage: Bacteria
Description: partial 16S ribosomal RNA
Rfam family: Bacterial small subunit ribosomal RNA
Source: RNAcentral
AGCGAACGCUGGCGGCAGGCCUAACACAUGCAAGUCGAACGAACUCUUCGGGGUUAGUGGCGGACGGGUGAGUAACACGUGGGAACGUGCCUUUUGGUUCGGAAUAACUCAGGGAAACUUGUGCUAAUACCGAAUGUGCCCUUCGGGGGAAAGAUUUAUCGCCAUUAGAGCGGCCCGCGUCUGAUUAGCUAGUUGGUGAGGUAACGGCCCACCAAGGCGACGAUCAGUAGCUGGUCUGAGAGGAUGACCAGCCACACUGGGACUGAGACACGGCCCAGACUCCUACGGGAGGCAGCAGUGGGGAAUCUUGCGCAAUGGGCGAAAGCCUGACGCAGCCAUGCCGCGUGAAUGAUGAAGGUCUUAGGAUUGUAAAAUUCUUUCACCGGGGACGAUAAUGACGGUACCCGGAGAAGAAGCCCCGGCUAACUUCGUG